Molecule: long non-coding RNA, 716 nt
Organism: Helianthus annuus (common sunflower)
Lineage: Eukaryota; Viridiplantae; Streptophyta; Magnoliopsida; Asterales; Asteraceae
Exons: 3
Source: RefSeq, a predicted model, not a curated record
AUUACUCUUUUGAAAAUUUCAGUUUGUUGUUUAUUAAAGUUUAAAUAAAUCAGUAAAUCAAUACUUCUUCUUUCAGGUGGGCGAUCGUCCCUUCACAGACAUUGUUUAUGGAAACAGAAACGGGUUUCUUACUAUAUCAACUGCACCACUGAGUCUCGCAGAAGAACCAUUCACUGUUAUUAAGCAGGGUUUCAAGGGGUUUCAUCAGUUCACAGUUUUCACAAGUGGCAGAGACGCAUUCACGGUGGUUUCACGGCGGAGUAGAGGCGUUCAUGGUGGUUUUCACGGCGGCGUUCACGUAUUUCACGGUGGUGGCAGUCGGCACAGUGUUUACGGUGGCAUAUAGCGUCUUCUGAUUCAUCAGGAACAUUCAUACACAAGCUGCUACCAUUGCUGCUAGAAUUCCGUACCCCCCCUAACGAUGAAACCAAUUCUUAUUCCAAUGAUGAUAAUGAUACUAAUGAAGAUACAUAUGAUGAUUCUGAAUACCCUUCACAUACAAAUGUACAUGAACAGCCCCUUAGACGUUUAUCGAGACGUCAUAAUGCACCCAACCAUCAAAAAUUUGAUUAAGUUCGUCGUCAAAAUAUUGAUCAUUUUGUUUUAUUAUUCGUUUUACAUUUAAUCUAAACUGUUUACAUUCAAGUUGCUCACCUACGUUGAACUGUUGUUUACACUUAAUUUGAAACGUCUACAUUCAUUUUGAUUAUGUUGAA